Molecule: ribosomal RNA, 505 nt
Filed under: uncultured bacterium
Lineage: Bacteria
Description: partial 16S ribosomal RNA
Rfam family: Bacterial small subunit ribosomal RNA
Source: RNAcentral
GACGAACGCUGGCGGCGUGCCUAAUACAUGCAAGUAGAACGCACAGUUUAUACCGUAGCUUGCUACACCAUAGACUGUGAGUUGCGAACGGGUUAGUAACGCGUAGGUAACCUGCCUGGUAGCGGGGGAUAACUAUUGGAAACGAUAGCUAAUACCGCAUAAUAUUAAUUAUUGCAUGAUAAUUAAUUGAAAGGUGCAAUUGCACCACUACCAUAUGGACCUGCGUUGUAUUAGCUAGUAGGUGAGGUAACGGCUCACCUAGGCGACGAUACAUAGCCGACCUGAGGGGGUGGUCGGCCACACUGGGACUGAGACACGGCCCAGACUCCUACGGGAGGCAGCAGUAGGGAAUCUUCGGCAAUGGACGAAAGUCUGACCGAGCAACGCCGCGUGAGUGAAGAGGGUUUUCGGAUCGUAAAGCUCUGUUGUAAGAGAAGAACGGGUGUGAGAGUGGAAAGUUCACACUGUGACGGUAUCUUACCAGAAAGGGACGGCUAACUACGUG